GCUAUACUUCCAUCAUCUCCAUACUUGCUGGGAGAUUGAGUAAUUGGUCUCUGGAUGUGCGUGUGCUGCUUCCCAAAAUAUCUCUUUAAAAAGACGUGAGAAGGAUGCGGAGACAGUGGGGCAAGAAGAGAUGUAUACAGUAAACAUUUUCAAAGGAGGAGCUUAUCCUGAUUUCUUGGACCUGAAAUGUAAUCCAUGUAUCCUUAUAAGACAGAACAGAGGACAUAGAAGAAGAAGACCUGGAGGCAGAAGUAGAGUGAUGCAGCCACAGCCUAAGAACAUCUGGGGUCACUAGAGGCUGCUACAGAGCUACACAACAACCUGCCCAAGAUUCAGGAGGAAGACAACAAAGAAUAAAAUAGAGAGGUAAAGAGGCUGUCUGUGGUUCCAUAAUGAGAUAGUGGCAAAGACUAUAACUGACUCUCAACACCAAGCUCUUUCCAUUUUACA
Molecule: long non-coding RNA, 450 nt
Organism: Talpa occidentalis (Iberian mole)
Lineage: Eukaryota; Metazoa; Chordata; Mammalia; Eulipotyphla; Talpidae
Exons: 3
Source: RefSeq, a predicted model, not a curated record